This 253-nucleotide ribosomal RNA is filed under the name uncultured bacterium. Its description in RNAcentral is "partial 16S ribosomal RNA". It matches the Rfam family "Bacterial small subunit ribosomal RNA", at positions 524 to 776 of the family's 1533-position model. The record is from RNAcentral.
UACGUAGGGGGCGAGCGUUGUCCGGAAUCAUUGGGCGUAAAGCGCGUGUAGGCGGCUCGAUAAGUCCGGUGUGAAACCUUGGGGCUCAAUCCCAAGCCUGCACUGGAUACUGUCGAGCUAGAGUCCGGGAGGGGAAAGCGGAAUUCCACGUGUAGCGGUGAAAUGCGUAGAGAUGUGGAGGAACACCAGUGGCGAAGGCGGCUUUCUGGUCUGUAACUGACGCUGAGGCGCGAAAGCGUGGGGAGCAAACAGG